CAAAUUCAAGCUAUUUCCAGAUCGUAUCAAAAUCACCCUUCUUGUUUCAAUUUCGACAUUACGCCAUUGAUUGACACAAAAUCUGGUAAAAGAAAGCUGCUUAUCUUCGAUUUUUAUCAAACUGAAAGUGCAUCAUUCUAAUCACCCUCAUAAUGUAUUGAGUAUGGAUAGCAAUUUCUUGCCUUCCAUUUCUUCAAGAGCUAGCCGAAGGGCAGACCGUAAUCAUCUUCAAUCUAAAGAUGGUAAGGAAGGCCUUGCAAGUGGG
Molecule: unclassified non-coding RNA, 265 nt
Filed under: Hevea brasiliensis (rubber tree)
Lineage: Eukaryota; Viridiplantae; Streptophyta; Magnoliopsida; Malpighiales; Euphorbiaceae
Source: RNAcentral